UUUUUUUCUUUUUUUUUUUUUUCUCCUUGAGGUAGGUGGUACCUUCCCUCAUUGAACUAAAGAAUUUCUCGCUGGAACAUCUAAAGCAUGACAUUGAUGAGACACAGUUAACCUGCACUCCUGUCUGCUGCAGAGCAGGGGAAUAAAAGCUUUCUGGUAUGUAAGUUCAAAGAAAUGGACCUUUUACCAGAUUUGAACAGUUGUCUUGGGAAUGCAGAUUUAUGAAAAUUGAUCCCCUGUCUUUGUCCAGGAGAACAAUGUGCCUUUCUUCCCCCACGUUUGCCCCCUCAGAACUUCUUCAGAAAAACUUUUUUUAAUUAAUAGAGGAUAGCCUUGCAGCCACAAGGUUAUAAGAUGUCUCUGACAAACCUCUCUUUGGAUACAGUCAAAGAGGGAGAUAUUUAGACUUCACAUUCAAUUUAAAGCGGAGGUCAGAGUUCAAAAGUGUAGUUUGCCCUUGUCAUGUUCCAUUUGGAAUUCAAAUAGUCAGAAAAACAAAAGGCAAAAUGACACAUUGCCAUCACUGGGAUUCUCCAGCCUGCUCCAAAACAGGCACAAGGGGAAAAGGAAGGACAUUUCCAAUGGUGUUUAUUGGGAUUUAUUCUAUAUAAUCUCCACAUUUUAAAGUACCCAAAAUAACCAGACCAUUAAAGUAGGUGUACACUAUGACUUCAAAACUACUAGCAUUGAGGAUAAACAAGUUUAUUUCUAUUCUUCCUUAAACAACCUUAAUAAAACAAAUAACUCCAAAUCAGAACUUAGGGAAGACAGAUAAUUUUAGAUGCCCUUACACUGACUGCUGCUGUAUAUGAAAUUUUCUUGCCAUUUGGUCUGAUUGUUCUCUGGGAGGAAAUAGUAACAACUUCCCUGAUUUCUGCCAUUUUCCUGAAAUACAACAAUGAAAACAAGAAGAGAGCAGAGUAUACACAUUAUGAAAAUGGGAAAUGAUUUAGGAUUUUUUUCCAAAUAUUUCAUUGUAUAAUUUUUGCUCAAAAUAAUUGCACUCUUGGGAAGCACUCCAGUAACAUUUUCCUCCUCAUCAUGCUGCAUUUGUCUCUAAAUACAGUCAGAAAAGAAGACAAGCCACAGAAUGCAUUAGCAGCAGCUAGAGAAGCCAAAAAAGCAGCUGAGAUAAUAAAAAAUAGACAAACCUCACUCCUUUUCAAGCAUUCUUGUCAUGUGGAAGCUUCUAUUUACACAAGUGCACAACUCCUUCAACCAUAAAUACUUAUCUAUAAAAAUAUAAGCACUACACAGAGCCUGUAGGACUCAUCAUUCAUUCAUUUAUCAUUCUUCACACAGUCCUGUACCUUCAGCCCUAUUUCUGAUUACACUCUCUCCCCGAGCUCCUGCAGGUUAACAUUUAUUUCUUCUCCAACCAUGCCAACUCCUGCUAAGCAUCCUCCUGUAUUCCACAGCUGUGGGCACAGAAGCUCCUUGUCAGCUCUCCUGUAGCACAGUUUGAAGCAUAAACUCUAAAUUCUGUUGUGUUCUGGGUGUUUGCUCAUUCCCACCCUGGCUGCGUGUGCAGAUCUCCCCUGUAGGAAUGUUGGUGAGGUAAACAAGUUACCCUUUGUCUCUUUAAAAAGGAGAAAAGCUCAGAAGUUUCUCUCCUCAAUUUGGUUAAAAGACACCUCAUAGGACCUUGGGGACUUCACCUCAAAUUUAAGGAUAGCCAAUUGGACAGGAGCCAAAAAGUCCCCCCUAAGCAAUCCCCUAGAAAUGAAGAGAACAAAAAAAGUGGUUUUUGUGAAGAAGUGCUUUUGUGAAGUGUUUUAGCAGGAGCAAGAACCUUUUGCCCUGGCUGUUUUUUUCUCUGUAAAGAGCUUUUUUUAUUUUGCCUUUUAUUAAAACUUUCUUGUUUCCAACAAUGUCACAGGAGCCAUCCUGCUACUUUAUGCCACCUGAGGUAGCUGAGCUAUCAAGGGUUUGUAGCUUGAUGCCACCCUUGUAGCUGGGCUAUCAAGGGUAUGAUGUUUGAAUAUGAGAGCCUGUAUGACCUGGCUCAAACAGAUAAAACCCUCCCCAGCUGCAGCUCUGCUCCCAGAUCAGUGCUCAUUUCUGGCUGACCAGGCUGGUUUGGGUAAAUCCAUCCAGCCACGAGGCAUUCCAGCUUGGGAAGGAUGGCAUGGAGAGCACUGUUCACUCAGCUGGGAUGUUUGGUACAGAACACGGGAUGGCAUGGUGUGGAUAUUCUCAGUUCAGUCAGAGAGAAAAAGAGAAAGAUUUCUGCCAGGCUAAGCCUGAGAAAAAGUCCAAGAGGAAUGUAAACAAUCAAUUAUCUUGCUUUCUGUUCAUAUUGUUUAUAGAUACGUUCUACCACACUGACCUGAGUCCAGUGUACCAGUCAGGUGAAAUGUGUUUACUCUAAGACCAAUG
This 2379-nucleotide long non-coding RNA is filed under the name Taeniopygia guttata (zebra finch). RNAcentral describes it as "lncRNA (ENSTGUG00000020547.1)". The record is from RNAcentral. Lineage: Eukaryota; Metazoa; Chordata; Aves; Passeriformes; Estrildidae.